This is a non-coding RNA of Apodemus sylvaticus (European woodmouse), 463 nucleotides long. The record is from the annotation of a RefSeq genome assembly. Lineage: Eukaryota; Metazoa; Chordata; Mammalia; Rodentia; Muridae.
CAAAACUCCCCUGGCUCCACCCAACCUUAGGUUAAAAAGCCAAAGGUGAGCCUGGCUACUCACAGGUGCACAGACAUGGACAGGCUUACUUCCUCAUUCCUACUGCUGAUUUUCCCUGCAUAUGUCCUGUCCCAGGUUACUCUGAAAGAGUCUGGCCCUGGGAUAUUGCAGCCCUCCCAGACCCUCAGUCUGACUUGCUCUUUCUCUGGGUUUUCACUGAGCACUUCUGGUAUGGGUGUGGGCUGGGUUCGUCAGUCCUCAGAGAAGGGUCUGACGUGGCUGGCAAACAUUUGGUGGGAUAAUAGUAAGUACUACAACCCAUCCCUGAAGAGCCAGCUUACAAUCUCCAAGGACAACUCCAACAACCAAGUAUUCCUCCAGAUCACCAGUGUGGACACUGCAGAUACAGCCACAUACUACUGUGCUAAGAUACCACGUUGACACAGCCUCAGUUUUCAGCUGU